RNAcentral lists this transfer RNA (86 nucleotides) under Nitrospirae bacterium RBG_16_64_22. RNAcentral's name for it is "tRNA-Leu". It matches the Rfam family "tRNA". Rfam says of the family: Transfer RNA (tRNA) molecules are approximately 80 nucleotides in length. Their secondary structure includes four short double-helical elements and three loops (D, anti-codon, and T loops). The record is from RNAcentral. Lineage: Bacteria; Pseudomonadati; Nitrospirota.
GCCCGGGUGGUGGAACGGCAGACACAGGGGACUUAAAAUCCCCUUCCCGCAAGGGAGUGCAGGUUCGACCCCUGCCCCGGGCACCA